CCCAACCUUCUCCCCACGUUACCCAUAUCUGACUUGUUCUGGCUUCGAGUGCCUGCUUGGAGUGAGCUCGUGGGAUGCUGGACGAGCUCUGCUGGGUUCUCUGCUACUGAAAUACUGCAGGGGAAAGCUGACUUACACCAUUUGGGAAUCGGCCCUUUGACCUCGGUGGGGCAAAGCGAUGUUCCCAUGUUGCAGGUGUACCACUGCCUGCCUUCUGUUUGCCUUCUGGGGAUCUGGGAAAGGCAGGGUGCAGCUCACCUCCCUGCGUGGUCGUGUAGCAGCCCCCGACCGCUCUGUGGGUCUGGGCAUGGAUCUACCCCACUAAAGCCCUCUAGUUCCAGUCAGGGGAGCAACAACAAGGGAUAACUGGCUGCCAGCCAAGGAGCCAUCCCCUACAAGGAAGCAAGCAGCAUCCACGCCUGCACAGGCUGCCUGGAUGCUUGUUACUCCUCUUUCUUCUUCAGAGAGUGUGGAAAGUCCCCUAUCUCGGCCCAGAAGCAAUGCUGAGAGCAUCAGGUGCUGCAAACAGGAAGAACUGCCUUGCUGUGUGAAAGUGGGUGUUAGAGGUUCUCCUGCAGGAAGGGCCAGGAACGAGUCCAUUCACUUAUUCCCCAGAGGAAAGCGUGAAUAUCUUUCUAGGGAACAGAGAGGUUUUUUAAUUAGUGCUCCCUUCUGCAUAAAGCCUGGCUCUCCUCCUCUGACUCCUCAGAUGAGCACAGCUAUAAUUAAGAGGCAGCGGUGUCGGGAAGGAGAGCAGGCUCCAGCCUGUGAUUUAUUAAGGGCUGCCGUGGGUGCAAUUGCCUUUCUCUCUUCCCCUCUCCUCAGUGUAUCCACAAAGUGAAUUUAGUGAUGAAAGGAGUGUCUCGGGCGAAUGGGCGCCUCUGUGUUUAUCUCCAGUGCAGACAGAACAAGGGCAGAGUUACUGCUGCUUUUUUUUUUUUUCUUUCCCAUGGGGUUACCAAGGAAAGCCUCAAAGCUCCUUUAGAGAAUUUCAUAUCUACAAGUCUCAGUUCCAGCCUAAACCCCAAGCCUCUGGGCCUCCCCAUGAGCAACACCUGGACCAAGGAGCAGCAAACACCUCCUGCCAGAAGCGGUGGGGUGAGGAGCGAGCCCAGAGGAAUCCUGCUGGAGACCCCCCGAGGUGUCCGCAGCGAUGAGUGAGCGCCAUGAGACGUGGGGAAGGCAGAGCACAAAGGCUGCAACUUGAAGUUAAAGUGUGUAACUCUCCCACCUCCGUCCAGCUCUUUAAGAAUAAACCCAGAGAUCGGUGGACAAUCCAUUUCUUGCUGACUGAGGUUCAUCUCAACGCAGAGAAACCAGGUGACAUUCCAAGUCAGAACACCUUCCCUUUCUUACCACAGAUCUUACCACCAGUCCUGAAGCGGCAACCAUUCUGAUCGCUCAGCCUGGCCCUCUGCUUGGGUAAGCAUCAGACUUCCCCCCAGCCCCCCUUCAGCCCCACAUCCAGCAUGGCAAUGUGGCAACACUGAAGGACAUCCAAUGCUGAUUUUAAAAUCUUAUGCAGCAGAGAGUCUUCUGUAUACCCUAGUGAUCUAUUCCUACUUCAAGUUCCAGGCAUUGUGAAGAAGCUGCACUUAUGCCUUACUUGUAUCAUAUUUCUGAGCUUGCCUUGGUAGAUUUUGCUGUUUAGCUACAUGAGACUUGGAACUUGCUUUUUAUUCAUCCGUCAGGCUCCAAGCAAAUAAAUGCAGAAAGCUUUAAGGCAGUUGGCUAAGCAUUCAGCCCUACAGCAACGCAGCUG
This is a long non-coding RNA of Numida meleagris (helmeted guineafowl), 1762 nucleotides long. RefSeq lists it as uncharacterized. The record is from RefSeq and is a predicted model, not a curated record. NCBI's taxonomy places the organism in Eukaryota, Metazoa, Chordata, Aves, Galliformes, Numididae. The transcript is spliced from 3 exons.